Molecule: small RNA, 693 nt
Filed under: Bos taurus (domestic cattle)
Lineage: Eukaryota; Metazoa; Chordata; Mammalia; Artiodactyla; Bovidae
Source: RNAcentral
AAUGGAGGCUGGCUUCCUUGGCAUGUGGGCUGUGUAGGCAAGCAGAGAUGUGUGACUGUAGGGAGUCCUACCUGGGCCUAAUGAGAGCAACUGGAAGAGAGUCUUGACAUCUAGCAAAUCACUGUGGCCUUGGUGGUUCAAGCCGUCUUGGUGCCUUUGAGAUAGAAAAGCUGCUUUCCGCCCAAGGGAGGCAUGAGCUGUGGGCCCACAAAGGGAAGGUUUUGCAGGGCAUCAUCUGUUUGGGGACUCCAUGUGCAUGGGUAGUGUUAAACAGAAGGGAGGACGUGUAGGAAUGCCACCUUACCUUUAUGGCCUCAGGUUCCAAUCUUUGUAUCUGAAGAGACCCUGUAUCCAUGUGCACCUUUCUCACAACAUUGGAUAAGACCCAGGCCUAUCACAGUCUCUUGGGGCUCUUGGAGGCUCAGGCGUCUCUUUGGCCUUUUCCUGCUACAUGGAGAUAGCCCUUGGGGGCACAUGUAGACAGGUGCACACAUAAAGCGAGAGAGAGGUUCUCCAAGUCAGCUGAGCCCAAAGGUCCUUGUUUUCUGUCCCCACAUGGAUCAGGCCAAUGUGACUGGUACUGUGAAGCUGUCCAAGGUGAUGGGAGAAUGCAGAACGCAGGCGCAUGUCAUACAGCUGUUCAUGGCAAGUGCUUCCACCCCUGCUUGCUGCUCUGCAGGUCGGUCCGUGUCA